This 485-nucleotide ribosomal RNA is filed under the name uncultured bacterium. RNAcentral describes it as "bacterial SSU rRNA". It matches the Rfam family "Bacterial small subunit ribosomal RNA", at positions 28 to 515 of the family's 1533-position model. The record is from RNAcentral.
GACGAACGCUGGCGGCGUGCUUAACACAUGCAAGUCGAACGCUGAAGCUCCAGCUUGCUGGGGUGGAUGAGUGGCGAACGGGUGAGUAACACGUGAGUAACCUGCCCAUGACUCUGGGAUAAGCGCUGGAAACGGCGUCUAAUACUGGAUAUGCACCAUAGCCGCAUGGUUUGUGGUGGGAAAGAUUUAUCGGUGAUGGAUGGACUCGCGGCCUAUCAGCUAGAUGGUGAGGUAAUGGCUCACCAUGGCGACGACGGGUAGCCGGCCUGAGAGGGUGACCGGCCACACUGGGACUGAGACACGGCCCAGACUCCUACGGGAGGCAGCAGUGGGGAAUAUUGCACAAUGGGCGCAAGCCUGAUGCAGCAACGCCGCGUGAGGGAUGACGGCCUUCGGGUUGUUAAACCGUACUUUACGUUAGGGUAAGAAGAAAGUAGACGGUACCGUACCAGAAGAAGACGACGGCGUAAUACGUAGCCAGCACG